UGGUGUUACUCUUUUGGGAGCUCAGG
RNAcentral lists this non-coding RNA (26 nucleotides) under Homo sapiens (human). Lineage: Eukaryota; Metazoa; Chordata; Mammalia; Primates; Hominidae. The record is from RNAcentral.